This 69-nucleotide transfer RNA is filed under the name Gymnura altavela (spiny butterfly ray). RNAcentral's name for it is "tRNA-Pro". It matches the Rfam family "tRNA". Rfam says of the family: Transfer RNA (tRNA) molecules are approximately 80 nucleotides in length. Their secondary structure includes four short double-helical elements and three loops (D, anti-codon, and T loops). Further hydrogen bonds mediate the characteristic L-shaped molecular structure. tRNAs have two regions of fundamental functional importance: the anti-codon, which is responsible for specific mRNA codon recognition, and the 3' end, to which the tRNAs corresponding amino acid is attached (by aminoacyl-tRNA synthetases). tRNAs cope with the degeneracy of the genetic code in two manners: having more than one tRNA (with a specific anti-codon) for a particular amino acid; and 'wobble' base-pairing, i.e. permitting non-standard base-pairing at the 3rd anti-codon position. The record is from RNAcentral. Lineage: Eukaryota; Metazoa; Chordata; Chondrichthyes; Myliobatiformes; Gymnuridae.
CAGGAGGUAGUUUAAUUAAAAUCUUGGCUUUGGGAGCCAAGGAUGAGGAUUAAUUUUCCUCCUUCUUGA